RNAcentral lists this ribosomal RNA (469 nucleotides) under Selenomonas sp. oral taxon E20. Its description in RNAcentral is "bacterial SSU rRNA". It matches the Rfam family "Bacterial small subunit ribosomal RNA", at positions 28 to 472 of the family's 1533-position model. The record is from RNAcentral. Lineage: Bacteria; Bacillati; Bacillota; Negativicutes; Selenomonadales; Selenomonadaceae.
GACGAACGCUGGCGGCGUGCUUAACACAUGCAAGUCGAACGGAGCGAAUGAAAGCUUGCUUUUAUGAGCUUAGUGGCAAACGGGUGAGUAACACGUAGACAACCUACCGAUCAGAUGGGGACAACAUUCCGAAAGGAAUGCUAAUACCGAAUGGCGUGGAGGGAAGGCAUCUUCCUUUCAUGAAAGAUGGCCUCUAUAUAUAAGCUAUCACUGAUCGAUGGGUCUGCGUCUGAUUAGCUAGUAGGUAAGGUAACGGCUUACCUAGGCGACGAUCAGUAGCCGGUCUGAGAGGAUGAACGGCCACAUUGGGACUGAGACACGGCCCAGACUCCUACGGGAGGCAGCAGUGGGGAAUCUUCCGCAAUGGGCGCAAGCCUGACGGAGCAACGCCGCGUGAGUGAAGAAGGUCUUCGGAUCGUAAAGCUCUGUUGAAGGGGACGAACGUACAUAGUGCGAAUAGGUGCUGUGU